CUGCAACUCGCCUGCAUGAAGUCGGAAUUGCUAGUAAUCGCAGAUCAGCAUGCUGCGGUGAAUACGUUCCCGGGCCUUGUACACACCGCCGUCACACCAUGGGAGUCGGUAACACCCGAAGUCGGUAGCCUAACCGUAAGGAGGGCGCCGCCGAAGGUGGGAUUGAUGACUGGGGUGAAGUCGUAACAAGGUAAC
Molecule: ribosomal RNA, 195 nt
Filed under: uncultured bacterium
Lineage: Bacteria
Description: partial 16S ribosomal RNA
Rfam family: Bacterial small subunit ribosomal RNA
Source: RNAcentral